GCGGCGGACGGGUGAGUAAUGCAUGGGAAUCUGCCCGAUAGUGGGGGAUAACCUGGGGAAACCCAGGCUAAUACCGCAUACGUCCUACGGGAGAAAGCAGGGGAUCUUCGGACCUUGCGCUAUCGGAUGAGCCCAUGUCGGAUUAGCUUGUUGGUGAGGUAAUGGCUCACCAAGGCGACGAUCCGUAGCUGGUCUGAGAGGAUGAUCAGCCACAUCGGGACUGAGACACGGCCCGAACUCCUACGGGAGGCAGCAGUGGGGAAUAUUGGACAAUGGGCGAAAGCCUGAUCCAGCCAUGCCGCGUGUGUGAAAAAGGCCCUCGGGUUGUAAAGCACUUUCAGUGGGGAAGAAAGCCUUGGGAUUAAUACUCCCGAGGAAGGACAUCACCCACAGAAGAAGCACCGGCUAACUCCGUGCCAGCAGCCGCGGUAAUACGGAGGGUGCGAGCGUUAAUCGGAAUUACUGGGCGUAAAGCACGCGUAGGCGGUCUGAUAAGCCGGUUGUGAAAGCCCCGGGCUCAACCUGGGAACGGCAUCCGGAACUGUCAGGCUAGAGUGCAG
Molecule: ribosomal RNA, 560 nt
Filed under: uncultured bacterium
Lineage: Bacteria
Description: bacterial SSU rRNA
Rfam family: Bacterial small subunit ribosomal RNA
Source: RNAcentral